This 643-nucleotide unclassified non-coding RNA is filed under the name uncultured Prochlorococcus sp. RNAcentral's name for it is "partial 16S-23S ribosomal RNA intergenic spacer; may also contain 16S ribosomal RNA and 23S ribosomal RNA". The stretch from base 302 to 374 matches the Rfam family "tRNA". Lineage: Bacteria; Bacillati; Cyanobacteriota; Cyanophyceae; Synechococcales; Prochlorococcaceae. The record is from RNAcentral.
UUGUGGAGGAGGACGCCGAAGGUGGGGCUAAUGACUGGGGUGAAGUCGUAACAAGGUAGCCGUACCGGAAGGUGCGGCUGGAUCACCUCCUAACAGGGAGACAACAAAAUGUUUAAUAUUAUUAUUUUGUCACCUUAGGUCGAUCGGUAUCUCACAUUCUUUUAUUAAGGACUUCAUUUCCUAAGUUUUUCUAGGUCACACCCAUUAUUUUUCCUGGGCCAUUAGCUCAGGUGGUUAGAGCGCACCCCUGAUAAGGGUGAGGUCCCUGGUUCAAGUCCAGGAUGGCCCAUAUCUCUAUGUUGGGGGUAUAGCUCAGUUGGUAGAGCGCCUGCUUUGCAAGCAGGAUGUCAGCGGUUCGAGUCCGCUUACCUCCACUGAUUUCCACCUCUUCCAUAUUUUCGAAAAGGAAAUGUUUUGAGUUGUGAUCAAAUUCUGAACGAAUCUAGCUUCCUAAUUUUAAUUAUUAAGAUGCUGGACUCAUUGAAUUAAUUUCAUUGUUUUCAGAGAACCUUGACAACUGCAUAGAUUAUUUUUAAAGACAAUAAGCAUCUUUAAUGAUGCAGAUUUAUUAUUUGUGCGAAUGCAUUAAUAACAAUUCUAUUAAGCUGAUGCUUCAAUUUUGAAGUUAUUGGUCAAGCUACAA